UUCCUUAAGAAUAGAGGAAUUGGUGCUCCCUGACCAGUCCAACGACAUUGGGCCGUAGUAAAUCAACAACGAAAGAUAAAUAAAUCUACCAUAUGGUCUCUUUAUUUUAAAUUUAACAUUCAUAGGCUGCAAAUAAUAAGUGACCACGUAACAAUUAAGAACAUUAGAAUGGGAAAAGGAUAAACUGAGAAUAAAGUAAAGAAAAGAGCAAGCGUGUGCGUAUG
Molecule: long non-coding RNA, 224 nt
Filed under: Nicotiana benthamiana
Lineage: Eukaryota; Viridiplantae; Streptophyta; Magnoliopsida; Solanales; Solanaceae
Description: long non-coding RNA (NBEN_LNC014218)
Source: RNAcentral